GGAUGCGAUCAUACCAGCACUAAAGCACCGGAUCCCAUCAGAACUCCGAAGUUAAGCGUGCUUGGGCGAGAGUAGUACUAGGAUGGGUGACCUCCUGGGAAUUCCUAGUGUUGCAUUCC
Molecule: ribosomal RNA, 119 nt
Filed under: Triticum aestivum (bread wheat)
Lineage: Eukaryota; Viridiplantae; Streptophyta; Magnoliopsida; Poales; Poaceae
Source: RNAcentral